UUUUUUUUUUCUUUUUUUAAAUGGCUGCACAUGCAGCAUAUGGAAGUUCCCAGGCUAGGGGUCGAAUCGUAGUUGCAGCUGAGAUCUACCCCACAACAACAGCAGCACCAGAUCCUUAAUCCUCUAAGCGAGGACAGGGAUACAACCUGCAUCCUCACAGACACCAUGUCGGGUUCUUAACCACUGAGCCACAAUGGGAAGUCCCCAAGUAUUAAAUGUAGUGAUAAAACUGAAUUGGAAAGUAGAUUAAGCAGAGAAUUAUAAAAGAGUAGAGAAAGGCCUCAGGCUCCUGGCUGCUUGAACAAAGCUCCUAGAUUGGUUCAUGUACUGCACUGUUACUCAUGCUGAGAUUUAUGUCACAUGGGCAUCAUUAAAGAAUCUUUUCAUCCCUGGGAUUCUUCAUCCAUAGAGCCUCAUACUUCCCCUUUAAAUAAAUUGGAACCACAGCUUUUAAAGCUGGCAAGAGAGGAGGUCUGGGCAAUGCAAGUCGAUUUCCCAGUCUGUCUUCCACACCUCUGUCUUUCUCAGGACACUCUGCUGGAAUGUUUCUAUGUCUGUGAUACUUUAAUGUGACAUAAUCUAAGUGCUCAGACAUCUACAGUGGUUUUAGGACUUGGAAGGCUGGAUGGAGGAUCGGCUUCUGCUGUUCUUGCCUCAGGAAGGGCAAGUAAAGCAGAAAGUUCACUUUCUGUUUCUAGCAGAAGUGCUGGAGAAGAAGCCAGAGGGGUUGGCAAUAGUUGGGCUACAGAAGGGCUCAUGAAAUAUCUUAGAGUUUCCAAUAUGCCUUGAUGGACUGAAGGUAAGAUAGAAAUGAUAAACACCUAUCUCAACUAAAGGUAUUCUCCUGCAGUGCAAUAACUGUUGGGGACAGUGUGUGGAUCAGGAAUCCACUGGGGCCCAGUCAAGUGCUAUGUGGAAAGACAAGGUAAGUUAGAACAUGUAGUUAUUCUAGAAUAGGGGGUUCUAAACCUUAAGUGUUCCAUGUUGUACCAAAACUCCAUGAUAGGCAUAAAUUAGCUUAUUUUUCUUUUAGUUGGUCUGAUGCAUUGGAUCUGGUUUUCAGAUUUUGAUUGAUGUGUGCAAGAGAAAGGCACAGUCAUGUCAACUACCAUACGCACACUUUAAUGAGUACCUACUCUGUGCCAGGCAACUGGGUAGCUGCUGAAAACAGGAAAUCAGAUAAAGCAUUCCUGUUUUCAUGGUGUUUGCAAUUUAGAGGGUGGGGAGGUGUGGGAGAGACCAACAAGUUACAAAGAGUUGGAUAAAUGACACAGGAAUGUGUAAGCAGGACACUUAAUCUACACUUACAGGUUAAAGUCAGCUUCUUAGUGGGGGUGGCACCUGAACUAAGUCUAAGAAGACAAACCAAUAGGUACAAUGCAGCCCUACAGCAGGUGUAUCUGGCUAAGUAAUGGUAAUAGAGUAAUGCUCAGUUUUGGGCAUUAGUUAACCUCUCAGCUUAGGACCAUUAGCAAAUGGGAUAGUAAGUCUCUAAUAUUCUCAAGGGUAGUUCUUUGCUUUGUCUCCAAGCUUCCUCUGCAUGCUACUAAUUAUAUUGUGUUAUAAUGGUGUUCAUGACUCUGUCAAAGCUGAAGACUGAGACCACUAGGGCAAAGGCAAUGUUUUAUUGCUUUUGCAUCUGCACAUAGUAGGUGCUCAGUAAUGAUUUUAUAGAUGGAUGGAUGAGUGAGAAAGAGGGCAAUUCUCUCAUUGCCAUCUAAUUUUAUCCAUUCUUAUCAUACUCUGUUGACACUGUCUCUCACAGCUCACCAAUGUUCUCUAAUUGCCAAAAUCAAUGUCCUUAUCAUCCUCGGAUUCUAAUGACACUAAUUAACAUGACCAACCACAGUUUGCCUCUCUUAAUUUUUGUCAUUCUGCAUAUCCUGAUUUUUCCACUAGCUUUCUGUUUCUUCUUUUUUCCCUCCUACUACCUGAUAAGACAUUUCCAUGAAUCUUUGGCCUCUUCUCUUGAAUUAUAUAUAUGUGUGUGUGUGUGUGAGUGUGUGUGUAUGUGUGUGUCAUGAGACAUGUUUCUACAAUAUUUUCUUAGCCUCUUUGCUGAAAACUCCAUCUUGUCCUUCUUUACUUUAUCCCAUCUUCCUGCUUUACUUUAUCCAAUUUUCCUGCUUGAAAAACAGUCACAGUGCUGGUGAAUGACUUAAGCUUAAGAACAAAGACUGUUAUGUGCCUAAAGGUCAGAGUAAAGGCUUAACCUUUUACCAGCUAAGUGGCUUUUAAAAUAGUAAAAGAACUUAUAAAAUGGUAAACAAACCCCUAUAUCCUCCACCCAUAGCCCCUCCUCACUUGAUCUUAUCUAAAGAGCACAAUGUGGUUUCUUGAGGCAGUGCUCUUGGUCCCUGAGACCUUGAGUCCACCGGUUCCCACUUUUACUGUCUCUGUGUUUUGUUUUAUGUUAACUUUUUUCCUUAAGUUCCACAGCACCCAUUCUUCAGCCCUAUCCUGCUUGAGCUGGUCUCGGCAUAUAUUCCUGUUUUCAUGGAAUUUAUAUAUAUGUGAGAGAGAUUUUCUACUUUCAAACCUCAAAUAAGCCAUCUGUUUGGAAAAUUCUUUUUUUUUUUUUUUUUUUUUCUUUUUUUAGGGCCGCUCGAGUGGCUUAUGGAGGUUCCCAGGCUAGGGGUCCAAUUGGAGCUGUAGCCAUUGGCCUAUCCCAGAGCCACAGCAAUGCAGGAUCCAAGCCGCGUCUGCAACCUAUACCACAGCUCACAACAACGCCGGAUCCUUAACCCACUGAGCAAGGCCAGGGAUCGAACUCGCAACCUCAUGGUUCCUAGUCGGAUUCGUUAACCACUGCGCCACGACGGGAACUCCUGGAAAAUUCUUAAAAUACACUUUGGUCCCUGAAUUCUUACUCUCUA
RNAcentral lists this long non-coding RNA (2876 nucleotides) under Sus scrofa (pig). RNAcentral's name for it is "lncRNA (ENSSSCG00015008172.1)". Lineage: Eukaryota; Metazoa; Chordata; Mammalia; Artiodactyla; Suidae. The record is from RNAcentral.